GAAUCCCUUGGGCUCAGGAUGAACGCUAGCGGCGGGCCUAAUACAUGCAAGUCGAACGGUGCAGCAAUGCAUAGUGGCAGACGGGUGCGUAACGCGUAUGCAACCUACCUUUUAUCGGGGGACAACAUUUCGAAAGAAGUGCUAAUACCGCGUAAGAUAGUAGUGGGACAUCCCACAGCUAUUAAACUUUCGGGGAUAGAAGAUGGGCAUGCGUCUGAUUAGCUAGUUGGCGGGGUAACGGCCCACCAAGGCGACGAUCAGUAGGGGAACUGAGAGGUUGAUCCCCCACACUGGCACUGAGAUACGGGCCAGACUCCUACGGGAGGCAGCAGUAGGGAAUAUUGGGCAAUGGACGGAAGUCUGACCCAGCCACGCCGCGUGCAGGAGGAAGGCGCUCUGCGUUGUAAACUGCUUUAGCAGGGGAAGAAAAGACUCAUGCGUGAGGAAUUGACGGUACCCUGAGAAUAAGCACCGGCUAACUACGUG
Molecule: ribosomal RNA, 486 nt
Filed under: uncultured bacterium
Lineage: Bacteria
Description: bacterial SSU rRNA
Rfam family: Bacterial small subunit ribosomal RNA
Source: RNAcentral